AUACUUACCUGGCUGGGGAGAUACCAUGAUCACAAAGGUGGUUUUCUCAGGGCAAGGCUUAUCCAUUGCACUCUGGAUGUGCUGACCCCUGUGAUUUCCCCAAAUGUGGGAAACUCAGUGGCAUAAUUUGUGGUAGUGGGGGACUGUGUUCAUACUCUCCCCUG
Molecule: small nuclear RNA, 164 nt
Filed under: Dasypus novemcinctus (nine-banded armadillo)
Lineage: Eukaryota; Metazoa; Chordata; Mammalia; Cingulata; Dasypodidae
Description: U1 spliceosomal RNA (ENSDNOG00000034632.1)
Rfam family: U1 spliceosomal RNA
About the family: U1 is a small nuclear RNA (snRNA) component of the spliceosome (involved in pre-mRNA splicing). Its 5' end forms complementary base pairs with the 5' splice junction, thus defining the 5' donor site of an intron. There are significant differences in sequence and secondary structure between metazoan and yeast U1 snRNAs, the latter being much longer (568 nucleotides as compared to 164 nucleotides in human).
Source: RNAcentral